UGUUAAACUAGGAUUAGAUACCCUAUUAUCUAUGAUUAUAACUAUUAUUAACUGAUGACCAAAAAAAUAAAAAAAAAUUGACGGCUUUUUUAAAUUAUUAAAGGAAAUUAUUCUAUUAAGGAUCCAACCCCAAACCCUUACUCUAUUAAGUAAAUCAGCCUGUAUACCUCCAUAAAUUCAAUUAAUAAUUUUAUUAAAAAAAUCUUAAAAAGACUCCUAUUAGGUCAAGGUGCCGCUAAUAAUUGAGCAUGAAAUAAUUUAUAUUAAAUCUAAAUUUAACAAUUAAUUUUUUUAAAAUAAUAAUUAAAAGUAAAAUUUAAAAGUAAAUUUAAUAAACCCUGCUAAAUUGAAUUUAAUCUAAAAAGUGUACAUAUUGCCCGUCACUCUUUAUUAAUAAAGAUAAGUCGUAACAUAGUAA
RNAcentral lists this ribosomal RNA (418 nucleotides) under Typhlodromus recki. RNAcentral describes it as "partial small subunit ribosomal RNA". The record is from RNAcentral. Lineage: Eukaryota; Metazoa; Arthropoda; Arachnida; Mesostigmata; Phytoseiidae.